Jatropha curcas is the source of this 1987-nucleotide non-coding RNA. The record is from RefSeq and is a predicted model, not a curated record. Lineage: Eukaryota; Viridiplantae; Streptophyta; Magnoliopsida; Malpighiales; Euphorbiaceae.
AUACUAUAAACCUAUUAGAAAUCUAACUCCUAAUAGAGUUCUAUUUACAACUCCUAAUAGAGUUCUAUUUACAACUAAUCCUUAACAAGGGCUAUUCUAACAUAGGAGUUAACACAUUUAUAAAUAGAGUCAAAAGAGAUCAUGGGUACACAAUUGGAUGGAUGAAGGCAUAGAAGGCUAGGGAGAAGGCCAUAGCAGUGUUGUAUGGUGAUGAGAGCCAGCAGUAUGCUAAGCUCCAUGAUUAUAGGUUGGAGCUCCUAGCUACCAACCUUGGUUCUUCAAUUCAUUUUAAGGUAGAUGGGGGAGGUUUUGAGGGUGUUUAUAUCUGCCUAAAUGCAUUGAAAGUUGCAUUUAAAAACUAUUGUAGAAGGCUUGUAUACUUAGAUAGACGUUGGUUGAAGGGGAAUUAUAGGAGGUCAACUGUUGUCUACUAUGGCAAUCGAUCCAAAUGAUUGCAUUUUCCCACUAGCUUAUGUUGUGGUGAAAAAUGAAUUUAUGGAGACAUGGGUUUGGUCUUUAGAGCAUUGAAGGAAGGCUUGGAGCUCAGAAAUGAUCACAACUUUUGCUUCGUAAGUGACAGAUAGAAGGGGUUAUUAAUGUCAUUAGUAGGAUGUGGCCUGAGGUAGAGCACAAAUUGUGUGUUAGACACCUUUAUACCAAUUUUAGAGCACAUUUUAAAGGUAAAUAGAUGAAAGAUCUGUUGUGGAAUGCAGCAAGGGCAAGCUAUGAUGCUAAAUUGAAUGCAUGAGAGAUUGAAAAAGGGAAUGUGGAGGUAAGGGAUUGGUUGAGGGUAAGACCUUGUGUGAAUUGGUCUAGGGCUUGCUUUAGGACUAAGGUGAAACGUGACAUGCUCACAAACAAUUUGUGUGAGUCCUUUAACAAAUAUAUCCUAAAUGCCAGAGAGUGUGUUAUCCUAACCAUGUUAGAGGUAAAUAGGACAAAGUUAAUGAAAAGACUACAUAGGAAGAGAGAGCAAAUGAAGAAUCAACAAGGCAAACUUUGUCCUAGGAUUCAAAAGAAACUAAAUGAGAAUAAGGAGUUUUCACAUAUGUAUGAGUCCACAUUUAGUGGUGGACCUAGGGUGCAAGUUGCUAGGCAUGAGGGGCAAUAUAUUGUGGAUUUAGGGGAUAAAACAUGUACAUGCAGAAGGUGAGAUUUAACUGGCAUCCCAUAUAGACAUUAUGUUAUUGCCUACAUAGUUGGCAAUAAUGAGGUGCAUGAGUUGUAUGUGCAUGAGGCAUAUAUUAUGGAGACAUACAUGAAAGUGUAUAGUCACUUUCUGAAUCCAAUUAAUGGACCUAACAUGUGGCCAAGGCAAACCCUAUAGCACCAUUUGUACCACCAAGUCCUAUUAAGAAAAAGAGGAGUAGAAAGCAAAAGGCUAGGAGAAAGGAAGCUGAAGAAAUUGAAUUGACAACAACUAGAGGUAAAAUGAAUAAGAAGGGAAGGGUAAGUAUGAAGUGCAGCACUUGUGGAGCAAUAGGCCACAAUAAGAGGUUCCAUGCUCCAUUGGACCCUUCCUAUAUGGCAGCAAAGAGAAGAAGAAAAGGAAAUAAAUAUGCAUCUAUAGCAAAGAAAUCUACACAUUCUGCUGCAACUUCUGCAUCUGCGGCUUCUACUUCUACAGCUGAGGGGAGUAGCUCUACACAUGGUGGAAUGCCUAAUCCCAGUUCCCAACCUACUCAACAAUCUGACCAAUGAGUCAGAGUGGUGGUUUAUGGCUGGAAGUAGCCAAUCAUUUCAAAAUCUAGAUAUAAUUAGUAGAUAGAAAAGUUGCAUGACAGGUAGCCAAAAUGUGUCACAAGCUCAAGUUAGAAGGGAGAAACAACAAGUGAGGAGGAAAGGGAAAGCUACACAGCAUAACUGAACCUACCAUUACUGUGGAUUUUAUUUUUUUGUGAAUGUUUUGUAACACUCAGGCCAUAGAUCAUAACUCUUCCUUUUGCAUAAUUUUUAGGGUUUCUUAUGAUUUGGAUUCAUUAAACAA